CAGUAGCCACGGGAAUACGGAGGGUGCAAGCGUUAAUCGGAAUUACUGGGCGUAAAGCGCACGCAGGCGGUCUGACAAGUCAGAUGUGAAAUCCCCGGGCUUAACCUGGGAACUGCAUUUGAAACUGUCAGGCUGGAGUCUUGUAGAGGGGGGUGGAAUUCCAGGUGUAGCGGUGAAAUGCGUAGAGAUCUGGAGGAAUACCGGUGGCGAAGGCGGCCCCCUGGACAAAGACUGACGCUCAGGUGCGAAAGCGUGGGGAGCAAACAGGAUUAGAUACCCGGGUAGUCCCUGUCUCUUAUAU
RNAcentral lists this ribosomal RNA (301 nucleotides) under uncultured bacterium. Its description in RNAcentral is "partial 16S ribosomal RNA". It matches the Rfam family "Bacterial small subunit ribosomal RNA", at positions 509 to 809 of the family's 1533-position model. The record is from RNAcentral.